This 451-nucleotide ribosomal RNA is filed under the name uncultured bacterium. RNAcentral describes it as "partial 16S ribosomal RNA". It matches the Rfam family "Bacterial small subunit ribosomal RNA", at positions 28 to 507 of the family's 1533-position model. The record is from RNAcentral.
GAUGAACGCUGGCGGCGUGCCUAACACAUGCAAGUCGAGCGGCAGCGAGGGGUGCUUGCACCCUGUCGGCGAGCGGCGGACGGCUGAGUAACGCGUGGGAACGUGCCCCAAAGUGAGGAAUAACUGCCCGAAAGGGUGGCUAAUACCGCAUAUUAUCUUCGGAUCAAAGGAUUUAUCCGCUUUGGGAGCGGCUCGCGUCGGAUUAGGUAGUUGGUGAGGUAAUGGCUCACCAAGCCGACGAUCCGUAGCUGGUCUGAGAGGAUGACCAGCCAGACUGGAACUGAGACACGGUCCAGACUCCUACGGGAGGCAGCAGUGAGGAAUCUUCCACAAUGGGCGAAAGCCUGAUGGAGCAACGCCGCGUGCAGGACGAAGGCCUUCGGGUUGUAAACUGCUUUUAUAAGUGAGGAAUAUGACGGUAACUUAUGAAUAAGGAUCGGCUAACUACGUG